CGGCGGGCUUACACAUGCAGUCGAACGAGAACGGGUAUUAGCUUGCUAAUACUGUCAGCUAAGUGGCGCACGGGUGAGUAAUAUAUAGGUAACGUGCCUUCGAGAAGGGGAUAACAAUUGGAAACGAUUGCUAAUACCCUAUAUGCCUUUAAGUCCUAAGACUGCAAGGGAAAUAUUUAUAGCUCGAAGAUCGGCCUGUACAGUAUCAGUUAGUUGGUGAGGUAAUGGCUCACCAAGACAAUGACGCUUAACUGGUUUGAGAGGAUGAUCAGUCACACUGGAACUGAGACACGGUCCAGACUCCUACGGGAGGCAGCAGUGGGGAAUAUUGCACAAUGGAGGAAACUCUGAUGCAGCAACGCCGCGUGGAGGAUGACACAUUUCGGUGCGUAAACUCCUUUUAUAUAGGAAGAUAAUGACGGUACUAUAUGAAUAAGCACCGGCUAACUCCGUGCCAGCAGCCGCGGUAAUACGGAGGGUGCAAGCGUUACUCGGAAUCACUGGGCGUAAAGAGCGUGUAGGCGGAUAGUUAAGUUUGAAGUGAAAUCCUAUGGCUCAACCAUAGAACUGCUUUGAAAACUGAUUAUCUAGAAUAUGGGAGAGGUAGAUGGAAUUUCUGGUGUAGGGGUAAAAUCCGUAGAGAUCAGAAGGAAUACCGAUUGCGAAGGCGAUCUACUGGAACAUUAUUGACGCUGAGACGCGAAAGCGUGGGGGAGCAAACAGGAUUAGAUACCCUGGUAGUCCACGCCCUAAACGAUGUACACUAGUUGUUGUGAGGCUA
Molecule: ribosomal RNA, 781 nt
Filed under: uncultured bacterium
Lineage: Bacteria
Description: bacterial SSU rRNA
Rfam family: Bacterial small subunit ribosomal RNA
Source: RNAcentral